UUUAAGGUCUAACCUGCUCAGUGAUUAUUUAAAUAGCCGCAGUAUAUUAACUGUGCAAAGGUAGCAUAAUCAUUAGAUUUUUAAUUGAAAUCUGGAAUGAAUGGUUGAAUGAGAAAAAAUCUGUCUCUUUUAUAAUAAUUUUGAAUUUUAUUUUUAAGUUAAAAAGCUUAAAUUUUAAAAUAAGACGAGAAGACCCUAUAAAGUUUAAUAUUUAAUAAUUUUAAUUUAAAAUGUAAAUUUUUAUUUAUUUUUAUUAUUUGUUUUAUUGGGGUGAUAUUAAAAUUAAUUAAACUUUUAAUUAUUAAAACAUUUAUUUAUGAAAAUUUGAUCUUUAGAUUUGGAUUUUAAGAAAAAAUUACUUUAGGGAUAACAGCGUAAUUUUCCUGGAGAGUUCGAAUUAAUAGGAAAGAUUGCGACCUCGAUGUUGGAUUAAAGUUAAUUUUUAAUGAAGCGGUUAAAAUAUUAAGUCUGUUCGACUUUUAAAACUUUACA
Molecule: ribosomal RNA, 492 nt
Filed under: Anthicomorphus suturalis
Lineage: Eukaryota; Metazoa; Arthropoda; Insecta; Coleoptera; Anthicidae
Description: partial 16S ribosomal RNA
Rfam family: Bacterial large subunit ribosomal RNA (bases 366-492)
Source: RNAcentral